GGCUUCGUGUCUCAGCUGGUAGAGCGCUUGCUGCGUUGAGGCACGUUGUUUCUGUCGCUGAUUCGAAUCCGGCCGAAGCCU
Molecule: transfer RNA, 81 nt
Filed under: Paragonimus heterotremus
Lineage: Eukaryota; Metazoa; Platyhelminthes; Trematoda; Plagiorchiida; Troglotrematidae
Description: tRNA-Asn
Source: RNAcentral